AGGAAAGGAAAGGAAUGGUAGAGGAGCUAGAAUAGAACAGGAGGAAAGGAAAGGUACAGGAGCUAGAAUAGAAUAGAGGAAAGGAAAGGGAGAGGAGCUAGAAUAGAAAAGAGGAAAGGAAAGGUAGAGGAGCUAGAAUAGAAAAGAGGAAAGGAAAGGUAGAGGAGCUAGAAUAGAAAAGAGGAAAUGAAAGGUAGAGGAGCUAGAAUAGAAAAGAGGAAAUGAAAGGUAGAGGAGCUAGAAUAGAACAGGAGGAAAGGAAAGGUAAAGGAGCUAGAAUAGAAUAGGAGGAAAGGAAAGGUAGAGGAGCUAGAAUAGAACAGGAGGAAAGGAAAGGUAAAGGAGCUAGAAUAGAACAGGAGGAAAGGAAAGGUAGAGGAGCUAGAAUAGAACAGGAGGAAAGGAAAGGUAAAGGAGCUACAAUAGAACAGGAGGAAAGGAAAGGUAAAGGAGCUAGAAUAGAACAGGAGGAAAGGAAAGGUAGAGGAGCUAGAAUAGAACAGGAGGAAAGGAAAGGUAAAGGAG
Molecule: long non-coding RNA, 525 nt
Filed under: Salmo salar (Atlantic salmon)
Lineage: Eukaryota; Metazoa; Chordata; Actinopteri; Salmoniformes; Salmonidae
Description: lncRNA (ENSSSAG00000102090.1, ENSSSAG00075048803.1)
Source: RNAcentral